This 73-nucleotide transfer RNA is filed under the name Camelus bactrianus (Bactrian camel). It matches the Rfam family "tRNA". From Rfam's summary of the family: Transfer RNA (tRNA) molecules are approximately 80 nucleotides in length. Their secondary structure includes four short double-helical elements and three loops (D, anti-codon, and T loops). Further hydrogen bonds mediate the characteristic L-shaped molecular structure. tRNAs have two regions of fundamental functional importance: the anti-codon, which is responsible for specific mRNA codon recognition, and the 3' end, to which the tRNAs corresponding amino acid is attached (by aminoacyl-tRNA synthetases). tRNAs cope with the degeneracy of the genetic code in two manners: having more than one tRNA (with a specific anti-codon) for a particular amino acid; and 'wobble' base-pairing, i.e. permitting non-standard base-pairing at the 3rd anti-codon position. The record is from Rfam by way of RNAcentral. RNAcentral also lists the same sequence under 2 other names. Lineage: Eukaryota; Metazoa; Chordata; Mammalia; Artiodactyla; Camelidae.
GUUGGUAUAGCUUAAGUGGCAGAGCACAUGCUUAGCAUGCACGAGGUCCUGGGUUCAAUCCCCAGUAUCUCCU